RNAcentral lists this ribosomal RNA (495 nucleotides) under uncultured bacterium. RNAcentral describes it as "partial 16S ribosomal RNA". It matches the Rfam family "Bacterial small subunit ribosomal RNA", at positions 28 to 507 of the family's 1533-position model. The record is from RNAcentral.
GAUGAACGCUGGCGGCGUGCUUAACACAUGCAAGUCGAACGAAGCACCUCUCCCGAAGAUUGACACAGCUUGCUGUAGAUUGAUUCAUUUGAGGUGACUGAGUGGCGGACGGGUGAGUAACGCGUGGGUAACCUGCCUCAUAGAGGGGGACAACAGUUGGAAACGACUGCUAAUACCGCAUAGUAAGAAGAAUUCGCAUGUUUUCUUCUUGAAAGAUUUAUCGCUAUGAGAUGGACCCGCGUCUGAUUAGCUAGUUGGUAAGGUAACGGCUUACCAAGGCGACGAUCAGUAGCCGGCUUGAGAGAGUGAACGGCCACAUUGGGACUGAGACACGGCCCAAACUCCUACGGGAGGCAGCAGUGGGGAAUAUUGCACAAUGGGGGAAACCCUGAUGCAGCGACGCCGCGCGAGUGAAGAAGUAUUUCGGUAUGUAAAGCUCUAUCAGCAGGGAAGAUAAUGACGGUACCUGACUAAGAAGCCCCGGCUAACUACGUG